Molecule: RNA transcript, 3303 nt
Organism: Salvia splendens (bonfire salvia)
Lineage: Eukaryota; Viridiplantae; Streptophyta; Magnoliopsida; Lamiales; Lamiaceae
Gene name: receptor-like protein EIX1
Exons: 3
Source: RefSeq, a predicted model, not a curated record
ACCAAAAAUCGAAUAUAGAAAUCAAAUCCCCAUCCAAAUACAUGUCUUAUAUUGCAUUAUUAAAUGUCACUCUUUUUCAAAAUCAAACAAAAAAAUAAAAAAGCCAUGAAAAUUAUCGUCUUCCUCAUCAUGACAGCUCUACUCAACGACGCAUUUGCAGACGUUAUUAUCUGCAAAGAGAGCGAGAGAAGCGCUCUCUCAACGUUCCGGAAGGAUCUAGAAGACUCCAGCAGCCGCCUCUCCUCAUGGCGCGGCGCAGACUGCUGCCAAUGGGAAGGCGUCAUCUGCGACAACAUCACCGGCCAAGUCCGCGAGCUCCGCCUCCGCAACCCCCACGACGCUCCCUGCUCUCGCCGGAGCUACGGCGUGGCUGAAUUCCAAGCUUACCACCGUCACAAAUUGGGCGGGAGAUUGAAUCCAUCUCUCCUCAAAUUGGAGUUUUUAAAUCACUUGGAUCUCAGCUGCAACGAUUUCCACGGUGCGCCCCUCCCGGAUUUCAUCUCCUCCAUGAGAAACCUACACUACGUAGAUCUCUCCAGCUGCGGAUUCCACGGCGCUGUCCCUAGCCGAAUUGCGAACCUCUCGCGCCUUCGGCAUCUGAAUCUCGGAGAUCCGUUCCCAAUUUUUGUCGAGAGUAAGGUUAGGGUUAGCAGUAUGCAGUGGCUUCGGCAUCUUUCUUCACUGGAGCACCUCGAUUUGACAGGCGCAGAUGCUAGCAGCGCGAGCGAUUGGCUCCGAUCACUCGGAAAUCUCCAUUCUCUGCUCGCGCUGCGCCUCUCGAGGUGCGGCUUACCGCCUGUGAUCUCCGGCAAUGCUGCGAAUCUCACACGUCUUGCUCAGCUUGAUCUCUCUUGGAACAAUUUCGAUUCCCCGCUCCCUCGCUGGAUUUACAGCCUCACCAAUUUGGUGCGCUUGAAUUUGAGCCACUGUGGAUUCUACAAUCAGCUCCCCACCGGAUUGCAAAACAUGACGAAGCUCGAAUACCUAAAUCUGUCCUCGAAUCAUUUCAGUUCCAAUUUCCCGCCAUGGAUAACCAGAUUAAACAAUCUCAAGGUUUUAGCAGCUGCAGACAACAUGAUUGAAGGGGAACUCCCUGCUACAAUGGAUAAUUUGACAUCUUUGGUGAGUCUAGAUUUGUCUCAGAACAGAAUUGGGGGAAUGCUGCCGAAAUCUCUCAGCAAUCUCUGCAACCUCCAAGAGUUGUAUCUGUACAUAAACAGCUUCUCUGGUGGUUUACCGGAUUUUUCCGGCUGCAUUUCACACAGUUUACGAAUUUUGUAUUUGGGUUGGAACAAUCUUUCAGGUCCAUUGCCGAGUAAUCUCAAACAAGCAGCUAAAUUGAGAGAGCUUGACCUCACAUACAACAAGCUCACUGGGCCUCUCCCUUCGAGUCUCGAAGAAUUGCAGGAGCUUGAAUCUCUCGUUAUAUCGGACAAUUCUUUCAAAGGAAUCGUCUCUGAGUCACACUUCAGAAACCUUUCGGGAUUGAAGAUAUUCCGCGCGAAUGGCAACAGGUUCACCUUCAAGCCGAACAGAGACUGGAUCCCGCCUUUCCAACUUGAAGGCUUGACACUGAGAUCGUGGCGGCUGGGGCCUGAGUUUCCGCCAUGGAUCAAACAUUUGAAGAAUUUGCAGUAUCUGAGUUUGGCGAAUACGGGGAUCGAGGAUGCCAUUCCGUCUUGGUUCUGGACAUUAACCCCGCAGUUGAAGUAUCUAAACCUCUCUAGCAACAUGAUCAAAGGCCAAAUCCUUAGUUUACUAGAUUUCGGAAUGAGCAGAAAUGUGGCUGUUGAUAUGAAGCACAAUCUCAUCACCGGCCCCUUGCCUCGUCUCUCGUCGAAUGUGACCAUUCUCGACUUGUCAUUCAACCGCAUUUCGGGUUCGAUGCAUCAUUUCCUCUGCGGAAAUACAGAGAAGGAUAUGAGGCUGGAGAUCCUUGACCUUGCCAACAAUUUCUUAUCCGGAGAGAUUCCAGACUGCUGGGGAAACUGGUCGUCUCUGAGCGUGCUGAGGCUGCAGGCAAACAAUCUCACAGGCAAAAUCCCAAGUUCGGUCGGGCUCUUGACAAGGCUGCAAUCGUUGCACCUGCGCAGGAACAACGAUCUCUCAGGAGCAUUGCCAAUUUCGCUGCAAAACUGCACUGGUCUCAUGUUGUUGGAUCUGGGCCUCAAUCAUUUCUCGGGGCAUAUACCUAUCUGGAUUCAUCGGCUCUCAGAGUUGGUGGUGUUCAACCUUCGUCUCAACAGGUUCUGGGGUGAGAUCCCGGUGGAGCUCUGCCUUCUAAGCCGCAUCCAGGCGCUGGACCUAGCGGGUAACAAUCUGUCCGGGCGGAUACCCUCAUGCUUCGAUGGUUUCAAUGUGAUGGCGGGGAGGCAGAAGCCGGGCGAACGCAUGUACUAUUCUGCAGACGACACGUUUGGUGUCAUUCCCGACAGCCAGUAUCUCGUUGUGAAGGGGAGGCUCGGGUUUUACAGCAACAUUUUGCAUUGGGUGAUGACGUUGGAUAUCUCGGACAACAGCUUAACCGGACCGAUUCCAGCUGCAAUAACGUCGCUUUCCAAGCUGCAAGGGCUGAACCUAUCAAGAAACUGCUUGACCGGAACGAUCCCAGAACAUAUCGGUGGCAUGAACUUGCUCGAAUCACUUGACAUAUCGAAGAACAAGCUGUCGGGAGAGAUUCCUCAAACGAUUGUAGAGUUGUCGUUUCUGAGUAAUCUGAACUUGUCGUGUAAUAACUUAACCGGGAGGAUCCCAUCGAGCACUCAGCUUCAAGGCUUUGAUGCAUCGAGCUUCACUGGCAACGAGCUCUGUGGAGCUCCGCUGCCAGGCAGCUGUGGCGGGAAUGAGGGGAGUAGAGUUGGUGGCGAGGAUGAAGAGGAGAGGGCGAAGUCGAUAUUUGAAACGGAGGUGUUCGGAUUGGCUACGAGCAUAGUAGUAGGAUUUGCGGUUGGUUUUUGGACAGUGAUAGUAUCUUUGCUGGUGAAUGUGUCAUGGAGAAAUGCCUAUUUCGGGGUGCUGACGAGAAUGGGGAAUUACGUUUAUUAUGUGUGGGUUAAAUUCUUGCUCUGGUGCUGGUGUUUCAGCUCGUGAGUUUGUUUGUAGGAAGAAUCAAGAAAGGUUUUUAUUACUCCAUAAAUUUCAAAGUGCCGUCUUUCUCGAGGAGUGCUAGCAUAAGUGUUUUGAGUGAAAAUAUGAACGAUCAAUUAUAUAUUCCUCAAGUUGCAAAUGAUCGAAAGCCAGAAAUUGGAAUGAAAUUUCAAUCAAUUGACGAUGCGUUUGAAUUCUACAAUCAGUAUGCACGUG